This 484-nucleotide ribosomal RNA is filed under the name Thalassospira mesophila. RNAcentral describes it as "bacterial LSU rRNA". It matches the Rfam family "Bacterial large subunit ribosomal RNA", at positions 628 to 1111 of the family's 2925-position model. The record is from RNAcentral. Lineage: Bacteria; Pseudomonadati; Pseudomonadota; Alphaproteobacteria; Rhodospirillales; Thalassospiraceae.
CUUAUUUUCAGUGGCGAGCUUAACCGAAUAGGGGAGGCGUAGCGAAAGCGAGUCUUAAUAGGGCGUCUAGUCGCUGGGAAUAGACCCGAAACCGGGCGAUCUAUCCAUGGGCAGGUUGAAGGUUGGGUAACACUAACUGGAGGACCGAACCGACUACCGUUGAAAAGUUAGCGGAUGACCUGUGGAUCGGAGUGAAAGGCUAAUCAAGCUCGGAGAUAGCUGGUUCUCCUCGAAAGCUAUUUAGGUAGCGCCUCAUGUAUCACUGUAGGGGGUAGAGCACUGUUUCGGCUAGGGGGUCAUCCCGACUUACCAAACCGAUGCAAACUCCGAAUACCUACAAGUGCCGAGCAUGGGAGACACACGGCGGGUGCUAACGUCCGUCGUGAAAAGGGAAACAACCCAGACCGUCAGCUAAGGUCCCAAAGUUAUGGUUAAGUGGGAAACGAUGUGGGAAGGCUUAGACAGCUAGGAGGUUGGCUUAGAA